AACGCACGAGACCUGCGGACCUGCGGAAGGAUCAUUACCGAGUUUACAACUCCCAAACCCCAAUGUGAACAUUACCUUUACUGUUGCUUCGGCGGGAUCGCCCCGGGCGCGGCCGAGAGGCCCAGCCCCGGAUCCAACGUGCGCCCGCCGGAGGACCCCCAGACUCCAUGUUUCUUGCAAGGUAUUUCUGAGCUGCUCCUAGCGAGCAAAACAAAAAAUGAAUCAAAACUUUUAACAACG
RNAcentral lists this unclassified non-coding RNA (240 nucleotides) under soil metagenome. Its description in RNAcentral is "partial contains 5.8S ribosomal RNA, internal transcribed spacer 2, and large subunit ribosomal RNA". The record is from RNAcentral.